AUGUAUUUGGAUCCACAGAACGGUAAGGAACCAAUGCUCAAUGCUGCAGUUCACCUUCUUCAUAAUCACUAAGAGUCACUCGAUCCUCUGCAAGUUCUAGAGAUUAGAGCACGGGGUUUAUAAUCUGUCGCGAUUAAGAGAAUCAGCAGCCACCGGAUUCAAGUCUUUUCACAUCCCUGUUCAUUGGAUGCUUGACACCGGAUUCGUCAGUUAGGUCUAUACUCCGAGGAAUACGUCUUAUGCUAGUGAGGAAAUUGAUGUGGUUCGUGAGCAAUGGGCUGCAAGUAUUUAUUAUUGGCCUAGGGGCGCUUGAUCGAGUUAGUUUAGAUAUUAUAGAACAAUCUUUUAUGUUAAAAUGUAUGCAUACGUUGAAAUUGGAACAUACAUAUAUUUAAAUGUAUA
Long non-coding RNA from Spinacia oleracea (spinach), 402 nucleotides. RefSeq lists it as uncharacterized. The transcript has 3 exons. Lineage: Eukaryota; Viridiplantae; Streptophyta; Magnoliopsida; Caryophyllales; Amaranthaceae. The record is from RefSeq and is a predicted model, not a curated record.